This 403-nucleotide ribosomal RNA is filed under the name uncultured bacterium. Its description in RNAcentral is "bacterial SSU rRNA". It matches the Rfam family "Bacterial small subunit ribosomal RNA", at positions 355 to 774 of the family's 1533-position model. The record is from RNAcentral.
UGGGGAAUCUUCCGCAAUGGACGAAAGUCUGACGGAGCAACGCCGCGUGGGUGACGAAGGUUUUCGGAUCGUGAAACCCUGUCAAGAAGGAAGAAAAAAGACGGUACUUCUGAAGGAAGCCCCGGCUAACUACGUGCCAGCAGCCGCGGUAAUACGGGGGGUGCAAGCGUUGUCCGGAAUCAUUGGGCGUAGAGCGUUCGUAGGCGGUAUGUCAAGUCUGGUGUUAAAGCCCGAGGCUCAACCUCGGUUCGGCAUUGGAUACUGGCAAACUAGAAUGUGGUAGAGGUAAAGGGAAUUCCUGGUGUAGCGGUGAAAUGCGUAGAUAUCAGGAGGAACAUCGGUGGCGAAAGCGCUUUACUGGACCAUUAUUGACGCUGAGGAACAAAAGCCAGGGGAGCAAAUG